RNAcentral lists this ribosomal RNA (484 nucleotides) under uncultured bacterium. RNAcentral's name for it is "bacterial SSU rRNA". It matches the Rfam family "Bacterial small subunit ribosomal RNA", at positions 43 to 524 of the family's 1533-position model. The record is from RNAcentral.
CAGGCCUAACACAUGCAAGUCGAGCGGUAGAGAGAAGCUUGCUUCUCUUGAGAGCGGCGGACGGGUGAGUAAUGCCUAGGAAUCUGCCUGGUAGUGGGGGAUAACGUUCGGAAACGGACGCUAAUACCGCAUACGUCCUACGGGAGAAAGCAGGGGACCUUCGGGCCUUGCGCUAUCAGAUGAGCCUAGGUCGGAUUAGCUAGUUGGUGAGGUAAUGGCUCACCAAGGCGACGAUCCGUAACUGGUCUGAGAGGAUGAUCAGUCACACUGGAACUGAGACACGGUCCAGACUCUACGGGAGGCAGCAGUGGGGAAUAUUGGACAAUGGGCGAAAGCCUGAUCCAGCCAUGCCGCGUGUGUGAAGAAGGUCUUCGGAUUGUAAAGCACUUUAAGCUGGGAGGAAGGCAUUAACCUAAUACGUUGGUGUUUUGACGUUACCGGCAGAAUAAGCACCGGCUAACUUCGUGCCAGCAGCCGCGGUAAU